AUACGGAGGGUGCGAGCGUUAAUCGGAAUUACUGGGCGUAAAGCGUACGUAGGCGGUUGGUUAAGUUAGAUGUGAAAGCCCCGGGCUUAUCCUGGGAACUGCAUUUAAAACUGGCGAACUAGAGUUGAGUAGAGGGGAGUGGAAUUUCAGGUGUAGCGGUGAAAUGCGUAGAGAUCUGAAGGAACACCAGUGGCGAAGGCGACUCCCUGGACUCGAACUGACGCUGAGGUACGAAAGCGUGGGUAGCAAACGGGAUUAGAAACCCUAGUAGUCC
Molecule: ribosomal RNA, 274 nt
Filed under: uncultured bacterium
Lineage: Bacteria
Description: partial 16S ribosomal RNA
Rfam family: Bacterial small subunit ribosomal RNA
Source: RNAcentral